Molecule: long non-coding RNA, 7101 nt
Filed under: Brassica napus (rape)
Lineage: Eukaryota; Viridiplantae; Streptophyta; Magnoliopsida; Brassicales; Brassicaceae
Description: long non-coding RNA (BNAP_LNC008987)
Source: RNAcentral
UCCACCUGAUACACCUCUCACGAAUGCUCCACCAAUCAUAGUGUCUUGACACCUCUCCAGACCUAGCUCUUGGAUAACUUCAAUAGCACGCUGCUCCUUUUGCUCCCUUGUGAGAGUUUUAGGUAGACGCAAACGAGCAGCGUAGGUUAGCGUUUCUUUAACCGUAAGAUGAGGAAACAGAACAUCGUCUUGAGUCACAAACCCAAUCCUGCCAUCAAACCAGAAAAAAAAAAUUGAGUCUCCAUAUAUACAAUAAUACAAGAGAGUUUAGGGUUUAGGGCAAAAAGAUACUUACUUGCUUUUCAAGUAUUUAGAGUAAGGCUUGUCGUUGUAAGUAACAGAGCCUCCACUGGCGGAUUGAGAGAUUCGGCCACCGAGUAAGCUAAGAAGAGUUGUUUUGCCACUCCCUGAAGGACCCAUGAGUGAUGUUGUCUUGUGUGCAUGUGUUUUUGAAGAAAAAAAAAAGAAUAAAGAACUCUUCCUUUAACCUUUCCAUAGUUUAAGAGCUUUAUCAAGACCACCAGAAGCUACUUUCUCACCAUCUGGACUCCAAUCCACAGCCCAAACCUUUCCAACACAAAAAAAAAGAAGAAAAAUUAUGAGAGAAAAGAGUGUAAAUAAAAAAGCAAAACCAACAACUUGAGCUUUGAAGUAGUUUGAUACCUCAUCCUUAUGACCAGGGAGAUCAUGUUUUAGCUUUUUUGUUCCAAUCUCCCAUACCUGUCAAAGUCAAACAUAUUGAGGUUUAUUUGGUAGUUCUACUCUCUACUGUGUUAUCAAAUGUAAAAACAGGAUUUCACCUUGAGAGUUGAAUCUUUGCUGCAACUCAAAAGCAUCCUACUGUCAGGUGACCAACUGAUCUGAUAGACACAGUUAGCGUGGCCUCGGAAUGCUGUAAUAAAUUUUCCUGUGACACCAUCCCAUAGCUUCACAGAUUUAUCGAACGAUGCACUUGCAAUCCAUUGCCCAUUUGGUGAGAAAUACACAUGGUUUACAAGCUGUUUAUUGAGUUGACACCAAACAAAAUGUAAGAGUUCAAAAAUAAAAACAGAAACAAAAAAAAAAAAAAAAGUUUAGUAGCUAGUAGUAACCUGUUGAUGACCAGUACCAACCUGGCUGUAGUAACCAUUUUUUGUUUAGGUUGUAAGCUAACGGAUGGUUCCCAAAGGAUUAUCGUAAAAUCAUCAGAACCAGACACUAAUCUUUCAGGAGAAUCUACUUUCCCUUUUGCUUUGAUGUAUCUUUCAAGUGCAAUCUUACCACACAUAUAGGGAGAGGAUCAGAAUCAGGCUAGAAAAAGACGAGGCAAAGCCAGUAGAAUCAUCAGAAGCUUAUUGUUACCUUUUUCAUUUCUUCAUCUGAACCUGUUACUUGUCUAGUGUUGUCAAACGCUCCUGUCCGAAGAACAUAUUCUGUACUCAAUGAAAGGGAGUUCACCCAACCGGCAUGGUCCUGAAGAAGCAAGUAACUUGAGAAAUGUUAUCUUAAAGUAAAGACCUAGGAGACAAAAAAAAGUUACCUUCAAUAUAUGUUUGAGGAUUCCUUGACCCUGCUGAGUGAUCUCCCACAUCCUUAUGGUACUAUCUUGUGAACUGCACAAUAACAUGUUAACAAGAUAAAACACCAAUAAGAAACAUUUCAGGUUAUUAUAAAAAUGUAUGUACCCUGUGUAUAUAGUUCCAUCACCACCCCAUUUGACACAGGUCACAGCUCGUGUGUGUCCACUGAGGACAAUAAGAGUUCUCUUCAGUGUAAAGUCCCAGAUCCUUGCAUCCCCAUCUUUGCCACAAGUCACAAAUCUCCUGCUUGGAUAACUAAGAUGAGCUGGUUCCCACGCGAUACCACAAAUCCACUUCUUGUGACCCUACGAAAAAUUGAAGAUCUAUCAGUAAACACACACAAAAAAAAACAUAACCAACAAAACAUUUAUAAAGUAAAGAAGAGUUUAACUGAAAGUGCAUUGCCCUGUAAUUCUCCUUUGCUUGGAUCCCAACAACAGACUUUUCCAUCUCUAUCACCGCUCACAAGACACUUUGCAUCUGGUGACCAUGCAACUGCGAGAACAUGUUCCUUGUGCCCUGAACAAACGUUACAGGAACUAUGUUUAUUACAAGAAAUCUAAAUAUAGAUAGACAUCAUUAAAAAGAAAAUCAUAAGACGUUUCGAACCUUUGCAUGUAAACAUUGGAGUUUCAGUGUUGAGAUCCCAAAGCCUUACAGUUUUAUCACCUGAACCACUUGCUAGUUGCUUACCGUCAGGGCUAAACGAAACACAGAGAAUCUCACCCUCAUGAACUAACAAAAGCCAAUCAUAAUCACUCGAACCAUCUCUUCUAAAACUCAAAUACAAAAAUCAACAUUAACUUUAACAUAUAAUAUAUAUAUACCAUCGCUUAUUGUCUGUGAGCAACGGUAAACCGGGCGAAUCCUGAAAACAGCUUGUUGUCGAUAAACAAUCUUCAAAACAUUCUCCACGGACACUAAACCACACAUGUUCAUGUCAAAACAUUAAUAAAAAAUAUACUAAGAUAAUGUUUUCUAUAGAAAACAUAAGAGACCAAACUGCUUUGCUUAUUAUUAGGGUUUUACCGCUAUUUCUCUCCAUGCAAGUUCCCACUGAGACAAGAAGCUCUUCAUCUGAUACAUAGAAGCUGUAAGAUAACUUCUCCUCCUGGAUAUUAUCAAUUUCCCAUGAAGUCAUUUCAAUAUUAGGUUCGGUAAGUAUAAUCAAUAUCAGAUUCGAAAGGAUAGAAGAAUAUACAUUGUUGAGAAACGUAUUGACCAAGUUGGUGAGCUGCAAAUGCCCUGCGUUGUGAGGGAUAUACAUAGCAGAACCUAGUGGAGUUCCUUCUGCGUCUGUUAACAGACACAUCACUGUGUUCAUCGCCAUCUCCGACGCUUCCGGCUCUAUGUUCGACGACAAACUCCGAUGGAAAAUAGACAAAGGCUUUUGCGAUAUAAAUAUAAACCCUAAAAGUAAAAGUUAUUUAUUUAAGUAAAUCCUCCAAAUUAACCCUCUAUUUAUAAAUAAACCCCAAAUUUUCCUUUUGAAGUCUUAUAACCCCUAAAUUACAAUUGCCAACCUAAAUGUUUUCAUGUAACGCCGUUAAUGAUUUAACCACGACGUGGUUAACACGCAUUUAACAUUAGAGAUCUUAAACUGCAAAGGAUUUAACCACAGUGUGGUAUUUUUUUUUUGGUAAGUGGGCUUUAAUUGUUGGUUAGCAUACAACUGUCAUUCUCGGAGAUUUGGACUUUAAAGGUAGGUAGGUACAUGUGCUAGUAGUUAACAAACAAACACACACUUAACAGUAGUUCAAACGCAACAACUCAGAAACUUCAGUUUUGUGUCUUUAUCCCAUCCUCUCAACUCUCUCUAUAAAUAAGAUUUCAAGUGCAUGCAUGUCUAUCUAUAUUUCAACAUCACAAAUACAAAAGAAAGAAACUCAAAGCGACGGCCAUGGCAAAAGUUGGGGAUCUAGAGACAUGCAUCAAUAACAGAAUUAAAGAGAUCGAGGAGGAAGAAGAACGUAAUUUGAAGAUACUUAAGGAGUUGGAGACUCAGAUCAUGUCCCCAACGGAAAAAGGUCGUAGCCUUUGAUCACCUUUCUCAAACCGAUAUUGAUUAAAAAAUUCUUUCUUUUUUUUGAGAUUGAGAUUGAUAAUUUAAGAUUGAUAAUUUAGGUACGCAACAUCCGUCUACAAGUAUCAACAAGCCAAUUCUUGGGGAUGAUGUCCCAAAGGCUUCAGAUGUUGCACCCGAAGGGGGACCUUCUUUCCGCCCAAAGGGAAAGGGAAACAUGAAACCAUCUGAUGACGAUGAUGAGAAGAAGACCAAUGAAGGAAAGAGCAGCAAGUCUGGUGGUGUGGAUGAUGCCUAAUGAAGCAGCCGUCGAAUAAUAAAAUUAAUGUUGUCUUGAAAUAAAGUUGUUGUUGUGUCUUUCCAUGCUCAUUUCAUAUUCCUAGUGUUUGUUGUUUAAUUUGGUCAAGCGUCGGUCAUGUUUGUUGUUGUGUCUUAAACCUAAAUAAUGGAAUGUUUAUUUGCUAAUAUAUGGAAAACUAUGAUGCAUAUAUUAUUUGCUAAUUUCUUUUCACACACCUCUUUACUUGAUAUUACGUUGUGAGGGAUAUACAUAGCAUAACCUAAUGGAGUUCCUUCUGCGCCUGUUAACAGACACAUCACUGUCUUUUUCGCCAUAUCUGAUCCUUCUUCCAGCUCCAUGUUAGACGACAAACUCCGAUUGAAAAUAGACAAAAAGCUUGCGAUAUAGACCUUAUGAAAGUGUUAUUAAAAAUUAGUUAUACAUUGGUGAUGAAAUAUAUUUUGAAUAUUCAUUUCACAAAGAAAUAAACUAUUGAAAACAUGUUGCUUCAUUGUCUGAAAAAGUCAAAUUUUGAAGAAAAAAAAGACUAAUCAUUAGAGACCUCUAAAAUCCCAAUUGUCAACCAAAUGAAACUAACCUUAGGCCGUUAAUGAUUUAACCACAACGUUAACACGCAUGCAUGUAACCACAACGUUAAUGGUUAACAACAAGCUUACAACAACCUUAAUAAAGUGGCGAGACUUACAUCAAAGACACAAAAUCUAGAAAUGAUUGGAACUUGACUUGAAAAGAUCCAAACGCAUAAGGUUCUUCUUGUUAAUAAACAUGAACCAUUUAGAUUUUCAAUAUACUAAUACAAACUAAGACAAAUAUCUUCUCCAAUCACCACCCCAAAUCAUUACCAAACGCACAACUGUAACUAAGCAAGAAGUACAUUAGGACCAAUCUCUUAAUCGUUGUCACGGAUUGGUCGCGUGUCAAUCAAGAUCAUCAAGAUCACUUUUAUGUCUUAGUGCUUCUUCUUCUUCUUCUUCUUGUUAUUAUUAUAUUUUGGUUUCUUGAGCAAAAAGUGUUAUGUUGUGAUCUUCAUUUGCCUUAGAGACAGAUAAGCUAGGAGGCGGUAACCGAAGAUCAUGGCAACGAGUGCAACCACUUCAGUCAGUCCAUUGUCUAUUCUCAUCCCGUUGAUAGAUUGAGCAAAGUCUUUAUACUGCACUUUAAGAAGAAGCUUGUAGGUGUGGUAAUUGAAGGAUAGGUAACGUAUCCAGGAGAUGAACACCGGUACUUUCUGAAGGACACAAAACAAAAGAGCUCAGAAACAGAGGAAAUCAAGAAACAAAGGAAAUCAAGAAACAGAGAACUUACCUUAACAAAGAAUCCUCCUGCGAGCAUAAAUGUCAUGACAGUAACUGAAGCCAAAGUCGUAGCCUUCUUUAAGUCCAUUAAGAUUGCUCCAAUAGCAAGUCCAAGUCCCUAGCAAAGAGUAAACAUAACUCAAACUCACCAUUUUGAUCUUACUUUCCCAUUAUAGAAAUGUGUUUUUUGGUCAAUCAGAACAUACCUGAGAUGCAAUGAUGCAAAGGAAGACCGUGAGCAUGCUCAAGAAGAAAGGAUACGGGCUAAGACGAAGACCAGUCAUGAAAUAGACCACGAGGAGGAAGAGAGAAGGCAGGAUAAAGUCUAGAGGGAGAUCACUCGUGGUCCUAGCCAAGAAAUACGCACUUAGUCUAUACAUAUCAGCUGCUCUCUCUUUAUUCAGCAUAGCUCGCUCUUGAGGGAACGCAAAGAUGGCUGUGAAAACAGGGAAGAACCCCCAGAAAACCGCUAUGAAGAAGAGCAAACCAGCCUGUAAACAACAAAAAAGAUCAUGUGAUAUUCAUGUUUCUUGAGGUACAAGGCAGAGAGGAGUGUGCAUCAAGAUACCUACCUGAUCUUGUAGUCCUCUUGGAGUGCGAAUAUCUGACUGCCACCAGAGAAGACCUAGAAUAACAGCUGUGGAUAAAACUUGUGUGACACGCAACCAGCUGAAGUAUUCGUGUCUGCGCUCUUUGAGUCCUCUAGAGAAGAGUAUGCAGUAUUGCUCCCACCAGCUCGCUCCCCAUUGUCUCUUUAGACGCAGAACUUUAGCUUUAGCUUCUUCGUCAAGUGGAACAGGAUCAGAUAGUUUCUUCUUCUCCUGUUCUGCAACCCUAGUCUCGUAUGCCUCCACCAGAUACUGCUUAGAAUGUUCCAAUAUAUAUUAAAACUCAUUUUGUUCCUUUUUAAUGAAUUUUAAAUUUAUUCACAUAAAAAAAACCUUGUUACAAUAGAUGUAUUGUUUGCUAAAGAAUUUAGAAAAAAGAGUUCUUUAAGUUUUUUGAAUGAAUUUUUUUACAUCUUUCAUUAUUGUUUGCUAAAGAAUUUAGAAAAAAAAUAAUCUUUAAUAUAAUUUUUUGAAUGAAUUUUUUUACAUAUUUGAUUAAUUUUUUAUGAAAGAGUAGUCUCUCUAUUUUAUUUUUUUAAACUCAAUUUGGUUUUCAGACAAUCUUAAGUUGUUGUUUGUGUGAUUACCUCAUGGACAGCAGCAGGAGAUGGCUUGCCAGUUUGAGGUUCUCUGCCUGAGUUUCCUACUUGAACUCUAUCUUCCAAAUCAGAAGGCACAGAGAUGUCGUUGAUGUUACCGUUGGCGAGAUCAAGCAAGAACUCAGCAGGGUUCAUGGUGAUAAGAGGAGAGCAACCAAUGGAAGAAAAGUAAACAAGAGCUUCUGAUGAUUUCCCAAAAUAGAGAAGGUUUCCUCUUCCUAAUAGAAUCAGCUUAUCGAAUCUAUGGAAGAGUCUACUAGAUGGCUGAUGUAUCGUUGUGAUCACUGUCUUCCCCGCCUGUUCCAAACACACAUCAAGAUUCAGACAACCAUCAAAGAGAGUAGUAGAGAGAUACAAAGUGUCUGAAACAAGCAAACCUCAGCGAUGUCGUGGAGCAUCUGGAUGGUUCUUAGAGCAGUGGUGGAGUCUAAACCGGAAGUUGGUUCAUCAAGAAGUAAUAGAGAAGGGUUAAUGAUGAUCUCGUUUCCAAUGGAAACUCUUUUCCUCUCUCCACCUGAUACACCUCUCACGAAUGCUCCACCAAUCAUAGUGUCUUGACACCUCUCCAGACCUAGCUCUUGGAUAACUUCAAUAGCACGCUGCUCCUUUUGCUCCCUUGUGAGAGUUUUAGGUAGACGCAAACGAGCAGCGUAGGUUAGCGUUUCUUUAACCGUAAGAUGAGGAAACAGAACAUCGUCUUGAGUCACAAACCCAAU